Molecule: transfer RNA, 73 nt
Filed under: Mycolicibacterium psychrotolerans
Lineage: Bacteria; Bacillati; Actinomycetota; Actinomycetes; Mycobacteriales; Mycobacteriaceae
Description: tRNA-Arg
Source: RNAcentral
GUUCGCCGCUGGCGCAGUCCCGGAACACCUUCUGCGCGUUCUGCCCGAGUUCGAGCCCCAGCGACGGAUGCCA